Molecule: ribosomal RNA, 377 nt
Filed under: uncultured eukaryote
Lineage: Eukaryota
Description: partial 18S ribosomal RNA
Rfam family: Eukaryotic small subunit ribosomal RNA
Source: RNAcentral
CAAUAGCGUAUAUUUAAGUUGCUGCAGUUAAAAAGCUCGUAGUUGGAUUUCGGGUGGGAAUGGCCGGUCCGCCGUUUCGGUGUGCACUUGCUACGCCCACCUUGCUGCCGGGGACGUGCUCUUGAGUUCACGCUCGGGACACGGAGUCGGCGAGGUUACUUUGAGUAAAUUAGAGUGUUCAAAGCAGGCCUACGCUCUGAAUACAUUAGCAUGGAAUAACACGAUAGGACUCUGGCCUAUCUUGUUGGUCUGUAGGACCGGAUUAAUGAUUAAGAGGGACAGUCGGGGGCAUUCGUAUUUCAUUGUCAGAGGUGAAAUUCUUGGAUUUAUGAAAGACGAACUACUGCGAAAGCAUUUGCCAAGGAUGUUUUCAUUAA